UACGUAGGGGGCGAGCGUUGUCCGGAAUCAUUGGGCGUAAAGCGCGUGUAGGCGGCCCGGUAAGUCCGCUGUGAAAGUCGGGGGCUCAACCCUCGAAUGCCGGUGGAUACUGUCGGGCUAGAGUGCGGGAGAGGCGAGUGGAAUUCCGUGGUGUAGCGGUGAAAUGCGCAGAUAUCAGGAGGAACACCAAUUGCGAAGGCAGCUCGCUGGGACGUUACUGACGCUGAGACGCGAAAGCGUGGGGAGCAAACAGG
Molecule: ribosomal RNA, 254 nt
Filed under: uncultured bacterium
Lineage: Bacteria
Description: partial 16S ribosomal RNA
Rfam family: Bacterial small subunit ribosomal RNA
Source: RNAcentral